This is an unclassified non-coding RNA of Cercocebus atys (sooty mangabey), 113 nucleotides long. It matches the Rfam family "Y RNA". Rfam says of the family: Y RNAs are components of the Ro ribonucleoprotein particle (Ro RNP), in association with Ro60 and La proteins. The Y RNAs and Ro60 and La proteins are well conserved, but the function of the Ro RNP is not known. In humans the RNA component can be one of four small RNAs -- hY1, hY3, hY4 and hY5. NCBI's taxonomy places the organism in Eukaryota, Metazoa, Chordata, Mammalia, Primates, Cercopithecidae. The record is from Ensembl.
AGUUGGUCCAAAGGUAUUGAGUUGUCUCAGUUGAUUGUUCACAGUCAGUUACAGAUGGAACUCCUUUUUCUACUCUUUGGCCCCUUCUCACUGCUGUACAUGACUAGUCUUUU